CGGCUACUUCUUUGAGGCUUUUUUACAAGCAAAACCCAAACAUGAAGAAUCUCUCCCGUUCUAACCGCGUUUGUGCUCAUUUCUACUGGUGAAUCCAUCAUCUACCAUCUUAUUAUUUUUAUUUUUUAGCAUUAUGAUAAGGAAAUCCUCUUAUAAUGAGAGAUUCAGUCCAAAAUGGUUGAGAGAUUCUGUGUCCCACAUAUUGUGUCCCUCAUCUCUCUUAUACAUUUUGGACUAGAUCUCUUCAGUUACGCUAAUCCCUUGUUAAGUGUCUCGAAUUUAUCCUUAAUUAGACCAAAUAAUGAUUUUGUUAAAGAUUAUUAUAUCAAUAUUUGGUAACCAAUUUAUUAUUUUUAUAUUCAUAUCUAAUAUAAUAUUUCAUCUUGAUUUUAAUUCUAGAUCUUACAUCCAAUUAAUGAUUUCUAUCCCAAAAAUUAGUGACAAAUUUAAUAUUUAGUAAAAAUGUAUACCUAGUAAAAUAUUAUUUAUUCGAUAUUUAUUUCAUAUAUUCAACAACUCUAAAAAAAAAUAUUUUUUUUCAACAUCAAAUUUCACAAUCUCUUAACAUUUUUUUUAAAAGAGGGUCUAUCUUUACAGUCCGGAUCUGCUGUCCCUAUAUGCUAUCCCAGCCGUAUCCACUUGACACACGGCAGCAACUCUCAUUUAGGCAGCAACUCUCAUUUAAUGCAACCAUGACUUAACUCCUUCAAUGCUCAGUUACUAUUUAAAAAUAUUAAAUUAAAAAUUGCACUAACUCUCCAAAUUUAAAUUUCUCAUCCAUCUAUAUCAUUUUCUUUUAAGACCCUCUUUAUUGAAAAUACAUAUACAAUUUUCUCAAAUAAUCACAUUCACAUUUCGUCUUUUAGUUUUUGACCAUUUUCUAAAAAAUAAUAUGCUACUGAGAUAUUUUUUAUCUUAAAAAAAAUAAUAUAAAACAUUUGUGAGUUUUAGGUAUACAUAAUUUUUUGAAAUAUUUGGUUAAGAUAUUGAAACACUAGAAUUUACGUAAAAAUAUAAAAAUAAAUUAGUAAUUGAUUAUUAAAAUUAAUUGAAAAUGUUAUUUCAAGAUGUAAAAAUCGAAUAUAUCAUUCAUCGAAUAUAUCAUGAUAUAUGUAUUUUCCUUAUGUUCUUUUAUUCCUUAUUUUAAAUAAGGGAAAUACAUAUAUCAUGAUAUAUUCAAGUUUUACCAUUAUGUUUUUUUAUUCCUUACUUUAAAUAAGGGAAAUACAUAUAUCAUGAUAUAUUCAAGUUUUACAUAUAUCAUGAUAUAUUCAAUUUUUACAUCUUGAAAUCACAUUUUUAAUUAAUUUUAAUAAUCAAUUACUAAUUUAUUUUUAUAUUUUUAUGUAAAUUCUAGUGUUUCAAUAUCUUAACCAAAUAUUUCAAAAAAUUAUGUAUACCUAAAACUCAGAGAUGUUUUAUAUUAUUUUUUUUAAGAUAAAAAAUACCUCAGUAGCAUAUUUUUUUUUAGAAAAUGGUCAAAAGCUAAAAGACGAAAUGUGAAUGUGGUUAUUUGAGAAAAUUGUAUAUGUAUUUUCAAUAAAGAGGGCCUUAAAAGAAAAUGAUAUAGAUGGAUGAGAAACUUAAAAAAUUGGGGAGUUAGUGCAAUUUUUAAUAUAAUAUUUUUAAAUAGUAACGGAACAUUGAAGGAGUUAAGUCGUGGUUGCAUUAAAUGAGAGCUGUUGCUGUGUGUCAAGUGGAUACUGAAACAACAUUUUGGGACAGCAGGUCCGGACUGCUAUCUUUCUCCUCCACUAUUUGUCUGCCGAAGCAAAUGAUCAUUAACUUCUCAUUAUAAUGAUAAAUUUAUGAUAAAAUUAUCAUAUUCAAAUCAAUAUUUAAUACCAUAUGACAAAUUUAUCCCAACGAAGUCAUUGCAUGAGUUUAUUUUCAUUCUUUUGCAUUAGUGAGACUUCCUUGAAAUUCUUUAUUUCUUCCACAUUAUAGGACUUCUUGUCCUGUUAAGCUAACCACAGGUGAAGGGAGGUCUGUCUAGUCCAAAUCCUAGGUUUUAGUUAAAACAGAUUUUUUAAUUUUCUUAACCAAUUAAUGAUGUGUCAUCUCACGAUUGAUUGCUCGCAAACCUUCAUAUUUAAUAUGCUACUUACGUAUAUAAUUUAAUUAAUCUGUUUUUGUACGUAUUGGUGCGUGCAGGAGUGAAGUGACAAUGGUGGAGGCAUGUGAGCUGAUGAUUCCUUUGUUCCCAGAAUUCUGCCGUGAUAUCAAUUGCCCAUAGUUACGUCAGCAGAAAAAGGGAAGCUGCGCCAACUAAUUGAUACUUGUUUUUGCGAGUAUCCUUGCUAAUUAAAUGCCCAUGGCUCACUCAUGCCCUUGUUAAUGCUACCUCCAAAUAAACUAUAACUAAAGAGUGAAAAUUUUCAUGUCCAAUAAAUAUAUAGUCAUGUCUCUUUUAAUUUCUUUUAGUUGGUUUUUUAUUGGUAUAAAAAAUGAUAUUCUACUUUAAUUCUUAUCUAACAAAAUGAUGUAAUAGUUACAUUGUCAUAAUUGACAAGUAUUUAG
This 2520-nucleotide long non-coding RNA is filed under the name Actinidia chinensis (golden kiwifruit). Its description in RNAcentral is "long non-coding RNA (ACHI_LNC009300)". The record is from RNAcentral. Lineage: Eukaryota; Viridiplantae; Streptophyta; Magnoliopsida; Ericales; Actinidiaceae.